This 36-nucleotide ribosomal RNA is filed under the name Pinguiphaedusa platydera. RNAcentral's name for it is "partial 5.8S rRNA". Lineage: Eukaryota; Metazoa; Mollusca; Gastropoda; Stylommatophora; Clausiliidae. The record is from RNAcentral.
GAAAAACCAGAAAAGAAAUGGGAAAAAACAACUUUG